GAUGAACGCUAGCGGCAGGCUUAACACAUGCAAGUCGAGGGGUAUAGUUCUUCGGAACUAGAGACCGGCGCACGGGUGCGUAACGCGUAUGCAAUCUACCUUUUGCAGAGGGAUAGCCCCAGAGAAAUUUGGAUUAAUACCUCAUAGUAUAGCAGUUUCGCAUGAAACCACUAUUAAAGUCACAACGGCAAAAGAUGAGCAUGCGUCCCAUUAGCUAGUUGGUAAGGUAACGGCUUACCAAGGCUACGAUGGGUAGGGGUCCUGAGAGGGAGAUCCCCCCACACUGGUACUGAGACACGGACAGACUCCGUACGGGAGGCAGCAGUGAGAAU
This 332-nucleotide ribosomal RNA is filed under the name uncultured bacterium. Its description in RNAcentral is "bacterial SSU rRNA". It matches the Rfam family "Bacterial small subunit ribosomal RNA", at positions 28 to 361 of the family's 1533-position model. The record is from RNAcentral.